This 445-nucleotide ribosomal RNA is filed under the name uncultured bacterium. RNAcentral's name for it is "SSU rRNA". It matches the Rfam family "Bacterial small subunit ribosomal RNA", at positions 26 to 518 of the family's 1533-position model. The record is from RNAcentral.
AGGAUGAACGCUGGCGGUCUGCUUAACACAUGCAAGUCGAACGGAGUAGCAAUACUUAGUGGCGGACGGGUGAGUAACGCGUGAGAAUCUACCUUCAGGACGGAGACAACAGUUGGAAACGACUGCUAACCCCCGAUGUACUGAAAAGGCAAAUAUUUAUAGCCUGAAGAAGAGCUCGCGUCCGAUUAGCUAGUUGGAGAGGUAAAAGCUCACCAAGGCGACGAUCGGUAGCUGGUCUGAGAGGACGAUCAGCCACACUGGGACUGAGACACGGCCCAGACUCCUACGGGAGGCAGCAGUGGGAAUUUUCCGCAAUGGGCGAAAGCCUGACGGAGCAAGACCGCGUGGGGGAAGAAGGCUCUUGGGUUGUAAACCCCUUUUCUCUGGAAGACACAAUGACGGUACCAGAGGAAUCAGCAUCGGCUAACUCCGUGCCAGCAGCCGC